This 549-nucleotide ribosomal RNA is filed under the name uncultured bacterium. RNAcentral's name for it is "bacterial SSU rRNA". It matches the Rfam family "Bacterial small subunit ribosomal RNA", at positions 353 to 896 of the family's 1533-position model. The record is from RNAcentral.
AGCUAAGAAUCUUCCGCAAUGGGCGAAAGCCUGACGGAGCGACGCCGCGUGAGCGAAGAAGGCCGUGAGGUUGUAAAGUUCUUUUCGGGAGGGGGAAUGACCGUGGCAGGGAAUGGCCGCGGGAUGACGUGAAUCCCGGAACAAGCCCCGGCUAACUACGUGCCAGCAGCCGCGGUAACACGUAGGGGGCGAGCGUUGUUCGGAAUCAUUGGGCGUAAAGGGCGUGCAGGCGGCACUGCAAGUCCGGCGUGAAAGACCCCGGCCCAACCGGGGGGGUGCGCUGGAAACUGCGGUGCUUGAGUACAGGAGGGGAUGCCGGAAUUCCAGGUGUAGGGGUGAAAUCUGUAGAUAUCUGGAAGAACACCGAUGGCGAAGGCAGGCAUCUGGCCAUGUACUGACGCUGAGACGCGAAGGUGCGGGGAGCAAACAGGUUUAGAUACCCUGGUAGUCCGCACAGUAAACGAUGUGCACCAGGUGGCGGGGGUAGAACCCCCGGUACCGUAGCAAACGCAUUAAGUGCACCGCCUGGGGAGUAUGCUCGCAAGGGUG